RNAcentral lists this ribosomal RNA (253 nucleotides) under uncultured bacterium. RNAcentral describes it as "partial 16S ribosomal RNA". It matches the Rfam family "Bacterial small subunit ribosomal RNA", at positions 524 to 776 of the family's 1533-position model. The record is from RNAcentral.
UACAGAGGUCCCAAGCGUUGUUCGGAUUCACUGGGCGUAAAGGGUGCGUAGGCGGUCGGGUAAGUCUGAUGUGAAAUCUCCAAGCCUAACUUGGAAACUGCAUUGGAUACUAUCCGGCUCGAGGAAUGGAGGGGAGACUGGAAUACUUGGUGUAGCAGUGAAAUGCGUAGAUAUUAAGUGGAACACCAGUGGCGAAGGCGAGUCUCUGGACAUUUCCUGACGCUGAGGCACGAAAGCCAGGGGAGCAAACGGG